AAUGCAGUCGAGCGGACAGAAGGGAGCUUGCUCCCGGAUGUUAGCGGCGGACGGGUGAGUAACACGUGGGUAACCUGCCUGUAAGACUGGGAUAACUCCGGGAAACCGGAGCUAAUACCGGAUAGUUCCUUGAACCGCAUGGUUCAAGGAUGAAAGACGGUUUCGGCUGUCACUUACAGAUGGACCCGCGGCGCAUUAGCUAGUUGGUGAGGUAACGGCUCACCAAGGCGACGAUGCGUAGCCGACCUGAGAGGGUGAUCGGCCACACUGGGACUGAGACACGGCCCAGACUCCUACGGGAGGCAGCAGUAGGGAAUCUUCCGCAAUGGACGAAAGUCUGACGGAGCAACGCCGCGUGAGUGAUGAAGGUUUUCGGAUCGUAAAGCUCUGUUGUUAGGGAAGAACAAGUGCAAGAGUAACUGCUUGCACCUUGACGGUACCUAACCAGAAAGCCACGGCUAACUACGUGCCAGCAGCCGCGGUAAUACGUAGGUGGCAAGCGUUGUCCGGAAUUAUUGGGCGUAAAGGGCUCGCAGGCGGUUUCUUAAGUCUGAUGUGAAAGCCCCCGGCUCAACCGGGGAGGGUCAUUGGAAACUGGGAAACUUGAGUGCAGAAGAGGAGAGUGGAAUUCCACGUGUAGCGGUGAAAUGCGUAGAGAUGUGGAGGAACACCAGUGGCGAAGGCGACUCUCUGGUCUGUAACUGACGCUGAGGAGCGAAAGCGUGGGGAGCGAACAGGAUUAGAUACCCUGGUAGUCCACGCCGUAAACGAUGAGUGCUAAGUGUUAGGGGUUUCCGCCCCUUAGUGCUGCAGCUAACGCAUUAAGCACUCCGCCU
This 836-nucleotide ribosomal RNA is filed under the name Bacillus subtilis. RNAcentral describes it as "bacterial SSU rRNA". It matches the Rfam family "Bacterial small subunit ribosomal RNA", at positions 54 to 874 of the family's 1533-position model. Lineage: Bacteria; Bacillati; Bacillota; Bacilli; Caryophanales; Bacillaceae. The record is from RNAcentral.